This 303-nucleotide unclassified non-coding RNA is filed under the name fungal sp. RNAcentral describes it as "partial internal transcribed spacer region". The stretch from base 1 to 46 matches the Rfam family "Eukaryotic small subunit ribosomal RNA", at positions 1786 to 1831 of the family's 1831-position model. The record is from RNAcentral. Lineage: Eukaryota; Fungi.
AAGUCGUAACAAGGUUUCCGUAGGUGAACCUGCGGAAGGAUCAUUAAUAUUCACAAACGCAUCCAAAAUCCUUUUGGAUGUAAACCCCUUUAGCGAACUUGUUUGUCUUCGUGGGAACAAAAACUGGAGCCAGGAGGGCAACCUCUUGUCUUCAGUCUCACGAAUGAUCUAUUUUUUUUUCUCCUUUUCUAUUUUAACCCAAUGAAACUUUUUGACUAAAAAACUUGUUGCACGCACAUAACUGUGUGGACAACGAAAAACAAAACGCUAAAACAACUUUUAACAACGGAUAUCUUGGCUCUC